This 1205-nucleotide long non-coding RNA is filed under the name Capra hircus (goat). Its description in RNAcentral is "lncRNA (ENSCHIG00010027342.1)". The record is from RNAcentral. Lineage: Eukaryota; Metazoa; Chordata; Mammalia; Artiodactyla; Bovidae.
GAUUUUCCAGGCAAGAAUACUGGAGUGGGUUGCCAUUGCCUUCUCCGGGGAAGUAUGCUAGAACUUCUUAUACAUAUUUUAUCUUGUCUUUGUGACAACCAGGAAAGUUAGGUAUUAUACUUCCCAGUGAAGAGAAGCCCAGAGAGAAUCAGUCCCAGUCAGUGGCUGAUCCAAGAUCCAGACUUGGAUCAACCUCAUUUCUAAGCCCAAAUUCUUUUCUCUUAAGUUCUGCUGCCUUCCAGAAAGCAAAGCCCCAAAGAUAAUCUCAUUGGAAGUUUCGACGAAAUGGCAACCCACUCCAGUAUUCUUGCCUGGAGAAUCCCAUGGAUAGANNNNNNNNNNNNNNNNNNNNNNNNNGUCGCAAAGAGUCGGACACGACUGAGCGACUUCACUUCACUUCACUUAGUCAAAAAAACAACGGAAAAAAGGAACGCAUGUGUGAACAGACUCUAUCGGGGGUAUCCAAAAAGCGCUUCACGGACCGAUACUGGACCUUAGAGAGGCUAUCCGUACCCCCCACCCCCGCCCCAAUAUUUCCGCCUCUCGGCUUCCGCAGGUGUUAACUGUUACCCAGGAAAACCGCAGCGCGCAGAGAGGUAGUGAGAAGGUUAUGGUAGAGAGCUGAUGUCUAGCGAUCUGGAGACGGCAGUCUUGAAAAUGUGUAUUCAAUCUGUCCUCGUUCACUUCCACUACCUCUUCCCCACCCAGCUAUUCGCUAAUAGCCUUGUAAUUCUCCCCUAUUCAAACUGUCCUCCCCCAAACCCUCCUUCACCCGCCAGAUAAUCGGAUCGUGUCAUUCCUCUCGUCUGAACCCUCCGUGGCUGCUCCUUGCUUCGAGGAUGAAGUUUAAACACCCUUCCAAACCCUCCGCGUUCGGCCCCUGCUCAGUACUCUGGCUUGAACUCACGUGUUCGCCUUGCCCCUCCACCCCCCACGCAGGCCCUUUCCUCCCUCAGCUCUUCUGCGCAGCAGCCCUGACAAUUCUGAGAGCUAUUGAAGGAGCUGAGAUUCAGAGAGACUGGAUCAUUUACUCCAGACACAUUCACUUUCUGGGCCUAAAGUGGACUCGGGGAGCACUUCCUACAGUUUUAAGUGCCUUAGGAUGGUCUCCUGACUCAUCUUCAAGAGAUGUUCUUCCAGAUGGGAUCAAGUUCAAGAAAGGAAGCCUUGGAGGGAUGCAGUUUCAGGGGGGUUUUAUGCAAUAA